RNAcentral lists this ribosomal RNA (768 nucleotides) under uncultured bacterium. RNAcentral's name for it is "bacterial SSU rRNA". It matches the Rfam family "Bacterial small subunit ribosomal RNA", at positions 28 to 776 of the family's 1533-position model. The record is from RNAcentral.
GACGAACGCUGGCGGCGUGCCUAAUACAUGCAAGUCGAGCGAAGUUUUUCUGGUGCUUGCACUAGAAAAACUUAGCGGCGAACGGGUGAGUAACACGUAAAGAACCUGCCUCAUAGACUGGGACAACUAUUGGAAACGAUAGCUAAUACCGGAUAACAGCAUUAACUGCAUGGUUGAUGUUUAAAAGUUGGUUAUGCUAACACUAUGAGAUGGCUUUGCGGUGCAUUAGCUAGUUGGUGGGGUAAAGGCCUACCAAGGCGACGAUGCAUAGCCGACCUGAGAGGGUGAUCGGCCACACUGGGACUGAGACACGGCCCAGACUCCUACGGGAGGCAGCAGUAGGGAAUCUUCCGCAAUGGGCGAAAGCCUGACGGAGCAACGCCGCGUGAGUGAAGAAGGAUUUCGGUUCGUAAAGCUCUGUUGUUAGGGAAGAAUGAUUGUGUAGUAACUAUACACAGUAGAGACGGUACCUAACCAGAAAGCCACGGCUAACUACGUGCCAGCAGCCGCGGUAAUACGUAGGUGGCAAGCGUUGUCCGGAAUUAUUGGGCGUAAAGCGCGCGCAGGUGGUUUAAUAAGUCUGAUGUGAAAGCCCACGGCUCAACCGUGGAGGGUCAUUGGAAACUGUUAAACUUGAGUGCAGGAGAGAAAAGUGGAAUUCCUAGUGUAGCGGUGAAAUGCGUAGAGAUUAGGAGGAACACCAGUGGCGAAGGCGGCUUUUUGGCCUGUAACUGACACUGAGGCGCGAAAGCGUGGGGAGCAAACAGG